This 438-nucleotide long non-coding RNA is filed under the name Prunus persica (peach). RNAcentral's name for it is "long non-coding RNA (PPER_LNC007785)". The record is from RNAcentral. Lineage: Eukaryota; Viridiplantae; Streptophyta; Magnoliopsida; Rosales; Rosaceae.
UUUCGGCUGGGGCUUGGAAUGGAUCUCGCGUAGGGAUGGAUUUCGGCUGGGGUUUUCGGGUUUAAGGUUGCUGAAGGAGAUAUAGAUGGGGAUUUUUCUAUUUGAGCUGGGAUUUUUCUUUUCUUUUUUUUUUUUUUUUGGUUGUCAAUUUUCUUUUUUUUCUGGGUUUCUGGGUUUGUGUUGCUGGCUAGGGUUUGUGGGUUUGUGGGGGAGGGAUGGUCAUGGGAGAAUGGGGUGAUGAUGACAAGAGACCCUAGACCAAGGCUAAGGUGGAAAGGGAGGAAGGUUUGUUGGGGAAUGGUGGUGAUGAGUCUGUGGGUGUAAGAACAUAAAGCGAGAGGAGGAGGGAGGGUUCUAUGGGUUGAAGGGUGUGGGGGUGGGGGAUUGGUUUGGGAGUAAAGGAUGGUGGUUAUGGGGGAAUGGGAGGAGAAAGGGAGG